This 116-nucleotide ribosomal RNA is filed under the name Candidatus Schekmanbacteria bacterium RIFCSPHIGHO2_02_FULL_38_11. The record is from RNAcentral. Lineage: Bacteria; Candidatus Schekmaniibacteriota. RNAcentral also lists the same sequence under 1 other name.
CCUGGUGAUUAUAGCAGAGGGGCCACACCCGUUCCCAUCCCGAACACGGAAGUUAAGCCCUCUAGCGCCCAUGGUACUGCUCGUUUUGCGGGUGGGAGAGUAGGUCGUUGCCGGGA